AAACCUCCUGUAACAUCAUCGGGAAAGGAGAUCCUCCCGCUUGGCUUAACGCAGCCCCGGGUGCUAAGGGUAAAACCAACGGCCGCACCUGCCACACGCCUCCCGCAGCAACACCGAGGGGUUAUACUGAGAACUGUCACUGUGUGUCACAGACUGGUUAACGCACAGACACCCGCCCUUGCAGUGUGCACAGCUGCAAGAAGCCGAAUUUGGGAAUUCUCAAAUCAUUUUAAGAACUUCACACGGGCGGGAAUUGUUUUGGAAACUGGGAGCCUUGGGCAAGGCCUGGGAGAGGCUUUGGAGGCGUGAAGCAGCAGCCACAGGCCAGUUAGUUGACCUGAGCUGGAGCCAGGAAAUCACCGCACCCUGGGGACACAAGAAAGGCAAAGGGAAUACAACUUCAAGUUCACAACUUGCAGUCCUCAUCUCCCCCGUGAACCCUCCCCCUGCUCCAAUCACAGUAUGGAGCUUCAGGGUGCUUCUGCUCGCUCCAAGCACCUCCAGUCAACACAUUUGUUCCUUGCAUCUCACCCCUUGUGUUCUCUUCUUCAGGAUCUGCAACCCACUCAUCCCUACUGACUGCAGCCAACAUGCAGUGAAGUGGGUAUGGAAGUGAGAACCAAAGACUACCAAAAGAGUGAAUGUAUACUGACAAAGAAAAUGGACAUGUGUGCAAUAAACAGAGUAGCACUGCACAGAGGUGCAUGAUGGUGACCUGGUAUAAAUCCACUCUGCCAUGCUGUGUUCUGGACCACAAAGAGAAUGAAGUAUUAGCACAUUUCUGUACAGUCAGUAGUACCUCUCAUUCUUCAGGCUGCCUGGGGUGAACCACCAAUAUGAAGAAUAUUUGCAAAGAUAAAAAUAGCUUCACAGAGAUACGAGAAGAUUAUCUGCUGGUUUGUAUUCAUUCCAUGGCUUCAGGAAUCAGAAAAGCUGGAAGCUGAGUUCAGAGACAAGUUUAGAUAUUGAGUUCUUGCUGAACAUUUUGCCCAGCAGACUUCUAAUACCCAAGAAUAGAUAUGUUAUAUUUUGGUGCGGGUCUUACUGCUGAGGAAAAAAAGAUGUUUCUCCUCUUUUCCUAGAUAUUGCUUUUUAUUUGUCAGUUUAUUCAUUCUAAUCUGAGUCUGUGUACCACAGGGACUUCCAGAAAGACAGGAAUUUUCUCUGCUCUACAUAAUUUUCUUUAGAUUCUAGCCUGAAUUCAUUAUCACUGUUAAUUUAGAAAGUAUAAACAGUUUACAAAUCA
This is a long non-coding RNA of Pezoporus flaviventris, 1246 nucleotides long. RefSeq lists it as uncharacterized. The record is from RefSeq and is a predicted model, not a curated record. The transcript is spliced from 2 exons. NCBI's taxonomy places the organism in Eukaryota, Metazoa, Chordata, Aves, Psittaciformes, Psittacidae.